RNAcentral lists this ribosomal RNA (499 nucleotides) under uncultured Lachnospiraceae bacterium. RNAcentral describes it as "partial 16S ribosomal RNA". The record is from RNAcentral. Lineage: Bacteria; Bacillati; Bacillota; Clostridia; Lachnospirales; Lachnospiraceae.
CACGUAUUUAGCCGGAGCUUCUUAGUCAGGUACCGUCAUUUUCUUCCCUGCUGAUAGAGCUUUACAUACCGAAAUACUUCUUCGCUCACGCGGCGUCGCUGCAUCAGGCUUGCGCCCAUUGUGCAAUAUUCCCCACUGCUGCCUCCCGUAGGAGUUUGGGCCGUGUCUCAGUCCCAAUGUGGCCGGUCACCCUCUCAGGUCGGCUAUGGAUCGUCGGCUUGGUGAGCCGUUACCUCACCAACUACCUAAUCCAACGCGGGCCCAUCUUACACCACCGGAGUUUUUCACACAGAAACAUGCGUUCCCGUGCGCUUAUGCGGUAUUAGCAGUCAUUUCUAACUGUUGUCCCCCUGUGUAAGGCAGGUUGCCCACGCGUUACUCACCCGUCCGCCACUCAGUCAUUUUAAAAUCCACCCGAAAGUCUCAUUUAAAAUACUUCGUUCGACUUGCAUGUGUUAAGCACGCCGCCAGCGUUCAUCCUGAGCCAGGAUCAAACUCU